AUUGAACGCUGGCGGCAGGCCUAACACAUGCAAGUCGAACGGUAACAGGAAACAGCUUGCUGUUUCGCUGACGAGUGGCGGACGGGUGAGUAAUGUCUGGGAAACUGCCUGAUGGAGGGGGAUAACUACUGGAAACGGUAGCUAAUACCGCAUAACGUCGCAAGACAAAAGAGGGGGACCCUCGGGCCUCUUGCCAUCGGAUGUGCCCAGAUGGGAUUAGCUUGUUGGUGGGGUAACGGCUCACCAAGGCGACGAUCCCUAGCUGGUCUGAGAGGAUGACCAGCCACACUGGAACUGAGACACGGUCCAGACUCCUACGGGAGGCAGCAGUGGGGAAUAUUGCACAAUGGGCGCAAGCCUGAUGCAGCCAUGCCGCGUGUAUGAAGAAGGCCUUCGGGUUGUAAAGUACUUUCAGCGGGGAGGAAGGGAGUAAAGUUAAUACCUUUGCUCAUUGACGUUACCCGCAGAAGAAGCACCGGCUAACUCCGUG
This 490-nucleotide ribosomal RNA is filed under the name uncultured bacterium. RNAcentral's name for it is "partial 16S ribosomal RNA". It matches the Rfam family "Bacterial small subunit ribosomal RNA", at positions 30 to 507 of the family's 1533-position model. The record is from RNAcentral.